CUGUUGCCACUGUUGUCGUGCCUCCCACCACCAAUGUGUACCUGCAAGGCAUGAAGCACCUCUUGACUCCUGCCACACCGCCACCGUCCGCCGCUUUCGGCGGGGGCGGGCCGGCGAUGCCGUCUGUCUCCAUCGUGGAGGAGUACUACACUAGCAAGAAGGGUCCCUUGUUCGCCACCGCCGUGGUGGCCGGCACCAACGCCGUUAAGCAGGUGAGCUCGCUCGUCCCCUUUUGCUAUCCGACGCCGAUCCAGCGCUGCUCUUUCACCUUCCGUCGUCGCCAGGUUCUCCAACCGCCGCGACCGGCGCAGAUGCCACAUCGGGUGGUGCUGCGUCGCCGAACCUCGGAGCCGGGCCCGCAGCAGAGCCGGCCCGAAUACAGCGUCCUCUACUGCUUCUGCACCGUCGCCACGGAGAACAAAGGAGGGGUGGAGAUGGAGGCACUGACGGGGGCUAUGAUGGCCAGCGUCACCCUCUACGACAUGUUGAAGGGCCUGCCAGGAGCACAGGAGGAUGGCUUGAGCCUGGGGGAGGCCUUCGUACUUGCCAAGCGUGGCGGCCGCAAUGACUUCACCAAGCUGCUGAUGUCCGAGCCUGAGCGCCCGCUCGUGGAGAGUGGUCUGUGCUCUGGAGGAGCGGAAAUGCACGCCCUCCCGCCGAUCAGCGGCGCUGUGAAUGGGGGUGGCGUACAGCUACCUACAGGCGCCACGCACGCAUCGCCGUCUGCCGCGACUGGUACCGACACUUCGAGGGCAACAACGCUGGACGCCAAUGGACAUGCCUCGGCAAAUGCGGAGCAAGCGCGAGUGGAGGGCCAGGGGGCGUCUGAAGAGGUGGCUGAAGAGAAGGACCACCACUCGGCAGCGAAGCGUGUGAUACGCCGCCCAGCGCCUGCGGCAGCAACCGCUCAUGAUGUCGUCGAUGGCUCUGCUGCCCCUGGCGAUGCUGACGCGUGGUGGCGCUCCUCAAAGCAUGAGAAGAGGUUGCAAGAGCUCUACCCGCGUCGCAAGUACGGUGACAAUGCACGCCUCGUUCCACCGAGCCCCACGCCAAUGACCCCAGUCAGCCCUGUAACGAGGGCACGCACGCGCACGGGCCCUUCGGCGUCCUCAGACAGCGGCGCUGAGGUGGCUGCGGCACCUGCUGCUGUUUUGGCUGCGCGGCCGAAGCUGGCGUCCAGGGCGAGUAUGAUCCGCGAUGGACAAGCCUCCGCAGCAGGCAAGGGGCCAGCCGCAACGGCCGCGCUGCCCAAAGCCGCUCGCAGGCCUGAGCCUACAGGCAUCAUCGAUGAGGCAGAUGAGGCCGACGAGGAGGACGACGUGGUAGAGCACCGCCGGUCACCGAAUCGUAGCCGGCUGGCCAAGAAGUCUGCACGGGCAGCUGCCUCCGCAGUCGAGGCCGACGAUGAGGACGAUGAUAAGCUGGAAGCCGCAGCUGCAGAGGAGGAGGAGGCUGACGAAGAGGCGACGACGACUACAGCCACUGCAGUCGAUGAGGCCGACGAAGAGGAAGGGACCGCGAUGACGGCAGCCGCCAAAAAGCGCAGGCGCAGCACGGCGGUCACGGCGGCGCCCAAGAGCCAUGCCACCACUAUCGCCGCCAAGUCGUCGUUCUCUGGAAAACGCACCCAGACAGGGCACAAGGGCUACCUCGCAGCGGUGGACGAUGAGGCUGCAACCGCUGAAGAGGACGAGGACGUCGCAGAGGACGACGAAGGUGCGGACGAGGAGGCGCGCAUGCCGGUCAAGGGCGGUGCAGCGGCAGCUACACGCAAAACACAUGCCCACGGCGGCGUGACAGGAAGGCGGACGGGCAAGGGCGCUAUCGAGCUCCCUUCACGCACCUUUGGAGCCAGCGGCCGCAAGCAGCGCGCGGGGCGCGUUACACCUAGAAAAGGUCGAGCGUCAGCAGAGCCGGACGACUAUCAUGACGACGGGGACAUGAGCGCCCUUGAGGAGAGAGAAGACGGCAUCGAGGAGGGCGACACUGCAGCAGGGGGCGAGGACGACAAUGCCGUAUCUGCUGCUGUUGAAAGGCGGCGUGGCAAAGCAGCAGUGAAGCAGAUCCGCCCAGCCGCGCCGAAGAAGGGCGGAGCCAUGCGGCCUGUCCGGCACGACUCCUGGGAUGUGGGUUUCAGUCGGCGGAGCCGCCACGACACCGGCGACGGCGACGAAAGGCACGAAGACGCAGUGGAGGAUGAGGAGGCGGCAGAGACUAUCGAUGAGGACGGCGAAGAGGACGAGGUGGAGGACGUGGCACCACCGCCGCCGCGCAAGAAACUGAAGAAGCCGCUGAAGCGUGCAGCACUGAAGAGGCGGUAGGCGAUCAGCAUCGGCGAGAGGACGGCGGGGAGGAGGAGGAUCACACAGCCUGCGCCAGCAAUAUUCACGCGCGCGGGUGCACGUGCCAUGCCGCAUUGGAUGAUGACUCUACCACUCAUACAACGCCCAGUAAGGUUUCCUCCCUUCCCACCGUGAGCGGCUGCGCAGCCAGUACCCUCUCUCCAUCAUCCGACACGAGAACAUGAUAACGAGACGAAACAAAGGAGUACGCCGUCAUCAGUGCGAGCGAUGGGGAAGCGAGAGGUGCUUCAUUGCGGAGCAUCUGUGCAACCCUCUUUCGCCUUCUCUCUCCGUCUAUGUUGCUCCUGCUGCUCCCCUUUCAUGUGUGCCUGCAUGCGUCUGUUCCAGGGUACGCGAACGAUGUCGGCGCACCCCCCCCCCGCCUCACACUCUCUGCACCUCUGUCACUCCCUCUGCCUCUGUGCGUGUGCGCCGUGCGUCAUUCCCUCUUGUGCUCCUUUUUUGACCUUGUCUCCCUAGACGGCCCAUUAUAGCCGUUGAGCUACUUAGCUGC
Molecule: unclassified non-coding RNA, 2856 nt
Filed under: Leishmania donovani
Lineage: Eukaryota; Euglenozoa; Kinetoplastea; Trypanosomatida; Trypanosomatidae
Description: gene:LdHU3.28.3830(CDS-product:molybdenum_cofacto r_biosynthesis_protein_putative)
Source: RNAcentral